AUCACAAUACAGAUCUGUGUCGAGCGAUCCCGACACCUGGCAACAGGUUGUUCGGUUGAUUGCUCGACAGUUCGACAACCUAUGGAGCCGCCAACAUUCUUAUGGUGUCAAUCUUCCAGUCGACAGAUCUCAGACUAACAGGAUUCUCUGGCCUGAGCUCCCUUCGGGUGAGCUCGGCCAGCGGAUUGCUGGGGCGUCAUAUUCCUAAAGCUUCGCUCGAGACCGUCGGUCUGUGAAGCGGAGACAAACCAUUUCUGCCUACAUGC
This 266-nucleotide small RNA is filed under the name Coniosporium apollinis CBS 100218. RNAcentral describes it as "A. fumigatus sRNA Afu_309". It matches the Rfam family "A. fumigatus sRNA Afu_309". The record is from Rfam by way of RNAcentral. Lineage: Eukaryota; Fungi; Ascomycota; Dothideomycetes.